RNAcentral lists this small RNA (58 nucleotides) under marine metagenome. Its description in RNAcentral is "Cyanobacterial functional RNA 1". It matches the Rfam family "Cyanobacterial functional RNA 1". The record is from Rfam by way of RNAcentral.
GUGCGGGCCCCUGGCCCUCACACUCCUCACACCCCCUGGCCCGGCGCGUCCGGGCUUU